UUUCCAGAGAUGGAUUGGUGCCUUCGGGAACCGUGAGACAGGUGCUGCAUGGCUGUCGUCAGCUCGUGUUGUGAAAUGUUGGGUUAAGUCCCGCAACGAGCGCAACCCUUAUCCUUUGUUGCCAGCGGUCCGGCCGGGAACUCAAAGGAGACUGCCAGUGAUAAACUGGAGGAAGGUGGGGAUGACGUCAAGUCAUCAUGGCCCUUACGACCAGGGCUACACACGUGCUACAAUGGCGCAUACAAAGAGAAGCGACCUCGCGAGAGCAAGCGGACCUCAUAAAGUGCGUCGUAGUCCGGAUUGGAGUCUGCAACUCGACUCCAUGAAGUCGGAAUCGCUAGUAAUCGUGGAUCAGAAUGCCACGGUGAAUACGUUCCCGGGCCUUGUACACACCGCCCGUCACACCAUGGGAGUGGGUUGCAAAAGAAGUAGGUAGCUUAACCUUCGGGAGGGCGCUUACCACUUUGUGAUUCAUGACUGGGGUGAAGUCGUAACAAGGUAACCGUAGGGGAACCUGC
RNAcentral lists this ribosomal RNA (518 nucleotides) under Salmonella enterica. Its description in RNAcentral is "bacterial SSU rRNA". It matches the Rfam family "Bacterial small subunit ribosomal RNA", at positions 997 to 1515 of the family's 1533-position model. Lineage: Bacteria; Pseudomonadati; Pseudomonadota; Gammaproteobacteria; Enterobacterales; Enterobacteriaceae. The record is from RNAcentral. RNAcentral also lists the same sequence under 1 other name.